Molecule: ribosomal RNA, 448 nt
Filed under: uncultured bacterium
Lineage: Bacteria
Description: bacterial SSU rRNA
Rfam family: Bacterial small subunit ribosomal RNA
Source: RNAcentral
UCGAGAAUUUUUCUCAAUGGGCGAAAGCCUGAAGGAGCGACGCCGCGUGGGGGAUGAAUGGCUUCGGCCCGUAAACCCCUGUCAUUUGCGAACAAAUUAAUCUACCCAACACGUGGAUUAUUGAUUGUAGCGAAAGAGGAAGGGACGGCUAACUCUGUGCCAGCAGCCGCGGUAAUACAGAGGUCCCAAGCGUUGUUCGGAUUCACUGGGCGUAAAGGGUGCGUAGGCGGUCAGAUAAGUCUGACGUGAAAUCUCCGGGCCUAACCCGGAAACUGCGUUGGAAACUAUCUGACUAGAGGAAUGGAGGGGAGACUGGAAUACUUGGUGUAGCAGUGAAAUGCGUAGAUAUCAAGUGGAACACCAGUGGCGAAGGCGAGUCUCUGGACAUUUCCUGACGCUGAGGCACGAAAGCCAGGGGAGCAAACGGGAUUAGAUACCCCCGUAGUCC